AGAGUUUGAUCCUGGCUCAGGAUGAACGCUGGCGGCGUGCCUAAUACAUGCAAGUCGAGCGAACGGACGAGAAGCUUGCUUCUCUGAUGUUAGCGGCGGACGGGUGAGUAACACGUGGAUAACCUACCUAUAAGACUGGGAUAACUUCGGGAAACCGGAGCUAAUACCGGAUAAUAUUUUGAACCGCAUGGUUCAAAAGUGAAAGACGGUCUUGCUGUCACUUAUAGAUGGAUCCGCGCUGCAUUAGCUAGUUGGUAAGGUAACGGCUUACCAAGGCAACGAUGCAUAGCCGACCUGAGAGGGUGAUCGGCCACACUGGAACUGAGACACGGUCCAGACUCCUACGGGAGGCAGCAGUAGGGAAUCUUCCGCAAUGGGCGAAAGCCUGACGGAGCAACGCCGCGUGAGUGAUGAAGGUCUUCGGAUCGUAAAACUCUGUUAUUAGGGAAGAACAUAUGUGUAAGUAACUGUGCACAUCUUGACGGUACCUAAUCAGAAAGCCACGGCUAACUACGUGCCAGCAGCCGCGGUAAUACGUAGGUGGCAAGCGUUAUCCGGAAUUAUUGGGCGUAAAGCGCGCGUAGGCGGUUUUUUAAGUCUGAUGUGAAAGCCCACGGCUCAACCGUGGAGGGUCAUUGGAAACUGGAAAACUUGAGUGCAGAAGAGGAAAGUGGAAUUCCAUGUGUAGCGGUGAAAUGCGCAGAGAUAUGGAGGAACACCAGUGGCGAAGGCGACUUUCUGGUCUGUAACUGACGCUGAUGUGCGAAAGCGUGGGGAUCAAACAGGAUUAGAUACCCUGGUAGUCCACGCCGUAAACGAUGAGUGCUAAGUGUUAGGGGGUUUCCGCCCCUUAGUGCUGCAGCUAACGCAUUAAGCACUCCGCCUGGGGAGUACGACCGCAAGGUUGAAACUCAAAGGAAUUGACGGGGACCCGCACAAGCGGUGGAGCAUGUGGUUUAAUUCGAAGCAACGCGAAGAACCUUACCAAAUCUUGACAUCCUUUGACAACUCUAGAGAUAGAGCCUUCCCCUUCGGGGGACAAAGUGACAGGUGGUGCAUGGUUGUCGUCAGCUCGUGUCGUGAGAUGUUGGGUUAAGUCCCGCAACGAGCGCAACCCUUAAGCU
RNAcentral lists this ribosomal RNA (1124 nucleotides) under Staphylococcus aureus MISS6042. RNAcentral describes it as "bacterial SSU rRNA". It matches the Rfam family "Bacterial small subunit ribosomal RNA", at positions 8 to 1111 of the family's 1533-position model. RNAcentral also lists the same sequence under 3 other names. Lineage: Bacteria; Bacillati; Bacillota; Bacilli; Caryophanales; Staphylococcaceae. The record is from RNAcentral.